Molecule: ribosomal RNA, 254 nt
Filed under: uncultured bacterium
Lineage: Bacteria
Description: partial 16S ribosomal RNA
Rfam family: Bacterial small subunit ribosomal RNA
Source: RNAcentral
UACGGAGGGUGCGAGCGUUGUCCGGAAUCACUGGGCGUAAAGGGCGCGUAGGCGGCCUGGCAAGUCGGUGGUGAAAGCCCGUGGCUCAACUACGGGUCGGCCACCGAUACUGCUAUGGCCCGAGUUUGGUAGAGGCAGAUGGGAUUCCGGGUGUAGCGGUGGAAUGCGUAGAGAUCCGGAAGAACACCGGUGGCGAAGGCGGUCUGCUGGGCAGUUGCUGACACUGAGGCGCGACAGCGUGGGGAGCAAACAGG